AUGCAUAGUAAGAGCCAAGUAAGAACCCAGUUGUCAAGAUGCAUGAAUAUGAGUUAUUUCAUACAUGAUUGUCAUUUGAGUGGUCUUCAAUCCCUGUCCCAAACCUGGACUCCCCUGGACAUCGUGUGUUAUGCUGAGAUUGCACCAGCUACAACAGAGACCGGUCAGUUCCAGCAGAAUUUCUGUGUCUGCUUCACAGUUGUAUGUUCAGAGAACGAGCUCCACGUGUGUCCGGGGUUUGUGCCAGUAACACUUAAAAUCAAAACCACCGAGAGGGAGAUCACACGGUCAGCGUUUUCCCGCUCGUUUUGUGCAGGAUACGGUGUACCGUUUGUUGCAAUUUUCACGUUUUUGUUCAGAUGGCCAGCAAGAGAAAACAAUUUUCUUCUCUAUUUGCAUGAGCCUAACAAAGCAGCAGACAAAAACACGUUUUUAAAUGAAAGAGUUUUAAAUGCUUUUUUUUUGCUGUGUGUGUGCGUGUGUGAAAGAACCAGAAAAGGAUGUUUGAACAGUACAGCAAAUUUAAGGGCAGGGUCCUUCAGUUCGCGGAAAUUUCCAUACCGCUUGCGCUUUCCGCAGGGCACCUCCCGGCCGUGUCGGAGCCCGUCCUUUGCGGGCAGGGUCCGCUCGGUCCUGGCGGGGGGCACAGAGCCAAGUCCGGGUCUGGCCGCGCCGAGAGCACGGCCGGGGGCUGUCCUGCGGGGCGCGCCGAGACCCAGGGGCUGCGGGGCGGAAAACAGGGGGGAUCCCGGAGGGGUGGGGGCUCCCCGGGGUGGUGGUGGUGGUCCUGGGGGUGGUGGUCCCGCAGCUCUCGCCUCCUCCUCGCCCCUAAGAGCAGUGCACCCCGCGAGCCGCGGGUGUCGGGGGCGGCUCCCGGCUCCUGCUCCGACCCCAAAACGAAGCGGGCAGACCCCGCGGGCGGACCCCCGCGGAGGGGUUUUCUCAGGGAGCAGCGAGCACCGGGUCCGACGACCCCCCCUGCGGACCCUGUUCCCCCUUCCCCCCCCUCCGGUGCCCGCUCCGCAACCGCGCCGCCCCCGCGGGGAGGGACCGUGCGCUGCGGCGGCGACUUUGCUCUUUAAAUCGCUCGGAUUUAAAGCGGAUUACGGCUCAUCCCCCCCCGGGACCACCCCG
This 1134-nucleotide long non-coding RNA is filed under the name Anser cygnoides (Swan goose). RNAcentral describes it as "lncRNA (ENSACDG00005018939.1)". The record is from RNAcentral. Lineage: Eukaryota; Metazoa; Chordata; Aves; Anseriformes; Anatidae.